Long non-coding RNA from Peromyscus leucopus (white-footed mouse), 3238 nucleotides. RefSeq lists it as uncharacterized. The transcript is spliced from 4 exons. NCBI's taxonomy places the organism in Eukaryota, Metazoa, Chordata, Mammalia, Rodentia, Cricetidae. The record is from RefSeq and is a predicted model, not a curated record.
GCUCAUGCUUUAAUUUCCAAGAAUUUAACCACCAACUGAAACUAUGUUGAUAUACAGAAUACAUGGUGCCACCUCCAAACAUGUUGAAGUCAUUGAUCCCUUCUGCCUCUGUUGGACAUAUUGGUGUUUAUGAUUCUAAUUAUGAUAUUCCUAGUACAUUUGAAAUCCAUGAUGAUGCCCAUCAUAUUUGUACCAGUGGAUACCAUAUUGUGUUUUGUGAUCUCUCCUGCUGUCUUUACCUUGUUAAAUUAAAUGUUCUCUCACCAACAUGAAGAAUAUUAAGUUCCAAGAUUUAACCAUUGAAAUGUUAAGUUCCAAGAUUUCACUAAUCUUGGAAACUAAUUUUAUAUCCAUAAUUCUUGGUGUCAUCUGAAUCUAUGAUCAUUUUAUUGAUCCCUCUUGUCUCUGUUAACCAUGUUGAUGCCUAUGAUCAGAACUUCCAUGCUAUUCUUAUUCCUUCUGGAAGCCAUGUUGAUUUCCCUGCUCCUUGUUACCUCUGGAUAACGUCUUGAUAUUGGUGACCUGUGUGGUCAAUUAUGACCAUAUUAAGAUAAAUUUUCUGUUAUUCCAACAUGAACAAAGUAAAUUUCCAAGAAUUCAACUAUCAUCUGAAACUAAGUUAAUAUCCAUGAUUCAUGCUGCUGUCUAUAAACAUGUUGAUGCCAUUGUUUCCUGCUCCCUCUUAACGGUUUUGAUGUCCAUGAUCAGACAUUCCAUGGUAUUCCUACUAUUUCUGGGAGGCAUGUUAAUGCCUGUAGUUCUUCUUGCUGCUCAAUAUGAAGUUUAUAUCUAUCUUUCCUGCCAUUGUUUUGUGAAUGAGAAAAAUGUUAAUUUUCAAGAUUUAAUGUGCAGUCUGAAAAUAAGUUGAUAUCUAUGAUUCAUGCUGCCACCUGCAACCAUGUUGAUGUCAUUGAUCCAACUCUGUUAAUCAAAUUGAUGUCUAACAUAGGCCAUCAUGCUAUUCCUGCUUCUUCUGGAAGCCAUGUAGAUGCCUGUGGUCCUUCUUAACCACUACAUACAUUGUUGAUGUCCAAUAACUCUCCUGCCCCUUGUGACUGCAAUAAAUUAUUGUUCUGUGUUACCAACAUGCAGAAUGUUAAUUUGCAAGAUUUAACCCACCAUCCAAAUGUAAGAUGAAAUCCAUAAUUCAUGAUGCCACCUGAAACCAUGUUGAUGCCAUUGAUCCCAUGUGCCUCUGUUAACCAAAUUGAUGUCCAUUAUUGAAUGACCUACCAUGCUCUUACUACUAUUUCUGGAAGCCUUGUUGAUGCUUGUGGUCUUUCUUACUGUAGAUAUGACAUUGAUGUCCAUAUCCAUGGAGAUAUUCUGCUACCUGAGACCCUAUUGAUGCAAGAGUUCUGUGCUGCCAACGUGAUGAAUGUUAAUUGCCAUGAUCUCAGCUACCAUCUGAAACUGGUGAUAUUUACAUGCUACCACCUGCAACCUUGUUGAUGACAUUGAUACCUGCUGUUCUCUUUAUCAUGUUCAUGAGCUUUCCUAUGCUAUUCCUAUUGGUUUGAAGUCCAUGUUGAUGCCUUAUGUUACGUUUUGCUCCUGGAUAAGGUGUUGAUGUUGAUGUCCAUGUUCUGUCCUGCCACCUGAGACCAAACUGAGGAAAUCAUGUUGAUGUCACUGUUCUUUGCUGCAUCUUCUAAACAUUGUUGAUGUUCAUCAUCCAACCUACUGUCCAAACUUUGUUGAUGUUACUGAUCUAUGUUGUAGCUGUCAACCAUGUUGAGGUUACUGAACUUUGCUACCACCUGUAACCAUAUUGAUGUCUGCAGUGUACAGUGUCAUCAGAAACAGUGUUGAAGUCAUUUGUCCAUACUGCUACCUUAGACCCAGUUCAAGCAACCAUGUUGAUGUGAGUGAUUCUCGCUGCCUCUCUUAACCUUGCUGAUGUCCAUGAUUCGACCUGUCAUCUGAAACUUUGUUGAUGUCACUGAUCUUUGCUGUUGCUGUCAAUCAUGUUGAUGCUACUGAAACUUGCUUCCACUUGUAACCAUACUGCUGUCUCUAGUCUGUUAUCAUCUGUGACAAUUCUGAAAUCAAUGGUAUAUACUACCACCUGAGACCCACUUCAGGAAACCAACCAUGUUGAUGUCACUGAUCUUUGUUCCCUGUUUUGACCAUGUGGAUGUCCAUUAUCUGACUUAACAUCUGAAAUUAUGUUGAUGUCACUCAUUCAUGCUGCUGCUGAUAACCAUGUUUAUGGCCAUAGUCUUUGUUGGAAUCUUAGACCUUGUGAAUGUCCAUUGUCCAUGUUGCCACCUGAGUCCAUGAUGAUGACCAUGAUGACUUUAGUCUGUGCUGCUGUCAGCCAUAAUGUCGAUGUCUCUGAUUGGUGCUGCUACUGGGGACUAGGUCAAUAUGAAUGAUCUGAGCUGCCAACAGAAACUAUUUUGAUAUCAUUAAGCCAUCCUUGUGCUGGAGACCAUGUUGAAAUCUUUGUCCUUGAUGCCCUCAAAUACUAUGUUUAUGUUCAUGCUCUGGGUUGCAUGCUGAAGACCAGUUGGAUAUCCAUGACCCAGCUGCUGAUGGAGACUGUGUCGAUGUCUGUGGUCAGUACUGCCACAAGAAGACAUCCUGAUAGUGAUCUGUGAUGCCUCCCUCAAACAUGUUAUGUUGGUGAUCUGUGUUGAUGUCCUGGACCAGAUGGAUGGCAGUUAUCCAAGCUGUCACCAGAAAUCUUGUGGACCAUGAUCUGUGCUGCUCCUGGAAACCCUGUAGAAGUCUAUGAUUCAUUCUGCUGCUGGAAACCAUGUGGAAGGCCUUGAUCUGUACUUCCACUGACUUUUAUGGGCAAGGAACUUCUUUUGCAGUAGUAUCAAUGACUGUAGAAUCAUAACUGAAAUUCAGACAGACAUUGAAGUCUUCUGUGCCACCAUCCCACCUAAAAAGAAAAUCUAGACAGGAUCUUAUUGGAGAGUUUUUGAAAGUUGUAAUAAAAAUACUUAACUGUAGCUCUUCACAGUUGAUGGCUUCAGGCAGGGGUUGGGAAAGAACUCCUUUUUAAAGGGCUGGCUACUGCAAGUUUGCCCAUGCUCCAAUGAGUAUAAGGAGAACACCAAUUGGACUUGUUAUAUUGUAUUUUUUCUAUUCUGGGGGAGGAUGCCACAAGGGUGAGAGGUGGACCUGGGAGGAACGGCAAUCAAGUGUGAUUGAGGUAUGUUGUAUGACAUUCUCAAAUGAUUAAUAAAAUAUUAGGUUGGGAAAAUAAAAAAAGUGUGAAAUAGUA